ACUGAACCCGUGGAGGAAGUGCCCGUCCAACCCGACGAGGCAGCCGGUCAUUUCCUGGAGGGUGUGAGACCCUGACGCCCCCCAAGGGCACCCUCGGCUCCAGUCUGGAACUGGAGGCGUCACUAUGGAACCGCAGGAUCUCCGUGUCGUCCAGGUAGAUGACGACGGUGUAGCGGUUCUUCUCGCCGAGGGGAGUGAUUUACAGGAAACUCCUAUGAUGCCGCUGCUUUAAUUUGGUUAUAGAGGGAUCUUAUCUGAGAGAUGACCAGGGACAUCACUGAGGGGGACAUGCAGUAACUUCUGUGGUGGACAUAACUGAGAAUGCUCAUCGACUGGAAAUGAAAUCUGCCCAGCACGCUGAACUGACUGCUCUAACUCGGGCUUGUCCCCUGGAUGAAGACCUAGUCGCCGAUGUUAACACUGAGAGUCCUGUGUGCCUGGUGCAUCCGGGACUGUGGGAUGAUGGGGAAGUGGGUGAGGCCUCCUCACUUCCUCAGGGCAGUGCACAAAGACAUGCAAAAGUGGUUGCAGGAUUAUUAGAUGCCACACAGGACCUCAAACAAUGGGCCAUCAUCAACAUUCCGGGGCAUUCUAACGCUGCCACUAUGGAAGGGAAAGGAAGUUCAUUUUGUCUGUGCUGCAGCUAGGGAGGUGGCAUUGAACUGAGACGUUAUCCUGACCCGGAAAUGUACACCGAAUUCUAUUAAAUCAAUAAAGGAUUAUCUUUUACAGUUUCAGUGGACAGCUAAGGAAAAAGAAAAGGGAAUAUGCAACAAAAAGGGGGAAAGUUUGACCCAGACAGAGAGAUGUGGCUUGGACCCAAUCAGAACCCAUCUCACCUGUAGGGGCCCAACUCCCUGCACUUGAACCUGUACAGGACCCACCACACUUGAGCCUUGGAAAGGUGAUUUCAUGGAGUGAACACUGUGACUGGAGACCUUCUCCUGCUGUGGCUCAUGAGGAGUACAGCAGCUGUCCUGUCUGUCCACAGUGCAGCUCAGGAACCCACUCCCUGGGUCCCAAGGACAUUUCCUGCUCCCUGUGGGUCCAGAUGAGGUUGGCAUUUUAUCCAAUGUCACCGUGUCAGGGAUGCAAACGUACAUGAGUGAUGACUUGUGUGUUUCGUCACUGGGUUGAGGUGUUGCUUUGAAGGAGAGUCACAGCCUCAAUGUUUGCUAGUUCUCGUUAGAAAGAAUAACUCAGAGGGGAAUCCAUCUGAGUUACACAAUGACUGAAGACUAAUUUCACUGGGCAGGUCACAAAAUCUGUUGGAACCUUUGGCCCCUUCUGCAGCAUUUUCACGUGCCCCUCCCCCCUCCCCCCAGACUGGGGGAUGCACCAAUGGGACAUCAAAAUUCAACUGGACAGAACUUCAGAAGCCUUCACUCUGCCCUGGACAGAAGCUCUCUCCAGAGUACAACUCAGCCUGAGGGCUACGCCCUUUGGUAACGUGAACCUUCUCCUUUGGGACUGGUCUCUGACUUCCUUGUGCAUCUGGAGAAGGGGCACAUGGACCAAUUUUGCUGAAAGGGGACUUUCUACAUCAGUGUCAGGGGCUUAUUAACCACUCCUGGGAGUCAUAGGUUUCAAAGAUGAUGGCUUACAACCAGGACACUCGGUCUGUUGGAAGAGACAUCAAAUCAAGGACUCUCUCCAGCCUCAUUGGAGGGACCUUACCAGGUGCUACUAACUAACCCACGUGCAGCUGAGCUCAGAGGAGUUAACUCCUGGGUUCCCACGUCUCAUUUAGAGAAGACUCCUGACAGUGCACGGAGAUCUGCCCCUUCCCUGACACUUGCCUCCAUGCACAGCAGAGAUCAGGGACUUUUCAAGGACAAGAAGCCACCAACCAGGCAGGCAGACAGCUGUCCCAACACAGAAACAGGGCCUACAGGCUCACAAAUUGAUGCUGCUGUUGACUGAAUGUACAUAAGAUGGAUUUGUAUUAUUAUCCUCCUCGUCGCUUCCUGAUGGAAACAGUACCCGUCCACCCAGACCCCCUUCCUUCUUAGAUGUGGAAAACGUAUCUUUGGUACCUGUCAACAUUCCCACCUACUGCACAAUCAUAUUCUGUUUUUUAAAUAGUUUUACGUCUUUAUUUUUAGAAAGCAACCUUCGUUCCUUCCCUAGAAAUACUGGCACGAACUGCACAACCAACUAAAGUACCAGGCUUUUCUUGUGGGCUUUCGCUACCUUCACAGGUCAAUCCCAGUUCCUCAGGGCUUUCUGGUAACGACCAGAACCCAUACAUGCCUCCUUCAGGCGUGACAUUCCGGUCAAAGUCCUGGUUAACAAAACCACUAUUAAAGACUGGUCUUAUUGAUUUUA
Long non-coding RNA from Artibeus jamaicensis (Jamaican fruit-eating bat), 2328 nucleotides. RefSeq lists it as uncharacterized. Lineage: Eukaryota; Metazoa; Chordata; Mammalia; Chiroptera; Phyllostomidae. The transcript has 3 exons. The record is from RefSeq and is a predicted model, not a curated record.